RNAcentral lists this ribosomal RNA (253 nucleotides) under uncultured bacterium. RNAcentral's name for it is "partial 16S ribosomal RNA". It matches the Rfam family "Bacterial small subunit ribosomal RNA", at positions 524 to 776 of the family's 1533-position model. The record is from RNAcentral.
UACGUAGGGUGCGAGCGUUAAUCGGAAUUACUGGGCGUAAAGCGUGCGCAGGCGGUUGUGCAAGACAGAUGUGAAAGCCCUGGGCUCAACCUGGGAAUUGCAUUGGAUACUGGCAGGCUAGAGUGCGGUAGAGGAUGGCGGAAUUCCCGGUGUAGCAGUGAAAUGCGUAGAGAUCGGGAGGAACAUCUGUGGCGAAGGCGGCCAUCUGGACCAGCACUGACACUGAGGCACGAAAGCGUGGGGAGCAAACAGG